UUCAUUGUUUCGUGUGUUGUUAAUGACAAGCCGGUUGUUGGAAUAAUUGGUUAUUCGUGAUAGCGUCUCUUUAUUGUUCAACUUCAGGUUUUUUUUCCAGAUUUGGAAGACAAUUGAAGUAACUCCCUGAGGUAUCAAGAGCUUUUUCAGUUUUUUUGUGUUUAGUGCUGAUUAGCAAGACGUAUUAGAAAAAUAGAGGAUGGCUAAACCCAACGAUAUCGCAAUUUCUACACUUCAAGUCCAAGUUGAUGAUGUGAAAAGCGUUAUGACUCAGAACAUUGAAAAGGUCCUAGAAAGAGAAGAGCGACUGAGUGAACUUGCUGACCGAAGUGAUGAUCUUGAAACAGCGGCUCAUGGCUUCCAAAAAACUUCUAUCAAGAUUUCAAAGAAGAUGUGGUGGAAAAAUGCUAAAAUGAUCAUAAUUCUAGCAAUCAUCAUCAUCGUCGUCGUCGUUUUCAUAGUUCUUAUAGCCACAGGGGUUAUUCCAAUGUAGGGAACGUUUAAACCUACCUAAUGUACAAAGUAUUGUAUAUGGAGCACAAAUAUUUAUGUUGAAACCCUAUUUUUAUACAUAAAACUGCUCGCUUUCGCCCAUUAAUAAAGUAGCUCAUGCUCCUUCUA
Pantherophis guttatus is the source of this 621-nucleotide non-coding RNA. The record is from RefSeq and is a predicted model, not a curated record. NCBI's taxonomy places the organism in Eukaryota, Metazoa, Chordata, Lepidosauria, Squamata, Colubridae.